GACGAACGCUGGCGGCGUGCUUAACACAUGCAAGUCGAACGAUGAAGAAGAGAAACGCGAACUUCGGUUCAAAUUUCACUUCGGAUUAGUGGCAGACGGGUGAGUAACGCGUGAGCAACCUACCUCUUACAAAGGGAUAGCCUCGGGAAACCGUGAUUAAUACCAUAUGACACAUUCAUAAGGCAUCUUAAGAAUGUUAAAGCUACGGCGGUAAGAGAUGGGCUCGCGUCCCAUUAGCUAGUUGGUGAGGUAACGGCCCACCAAGGCGACGAUGGGUAACCGGCCUGAGAGGGUGAGCGGUCACAUUGGAACUGAGACACGGUCCAAACUCCUACGGGAGGCAGCAGUGGGGAAUAUUGCACAAUGGAGGGAACUCUGAUGCAGCGACGCCGCGUGAGCGAUGAAGGAAUUCGUUUCGUAAAGCUCUGUUCUAUGGGAAGAAAAGGACUGUACCAUAGGAGAAAGCCCCGGCUAAAUACGUG
RNAcentral lists this ribosomal RNA (482 nucleotides) under uncultured bacterium. RNAcentral's name for it is "partial 16S ribosomal RNA". It matches the Rfam family "Bacterial small subunit ribosomal RNA", at positions 28 to 507 of the family's 1533-position model. The record is from RNAcentral.